This is a small nuclear RNA of Callithrix jacchus (white-tufted-ear marmoset), 181 nucleotides long. Its record names the gene U2. It matches the Rfam family "U2 spliceosomal RNA". From Rfam's summary of the family: U2 is a small nuclear RNA (snRNA) component of the spliceosome (involved in pre-mRNA splicing). Complementary binding between U2 snRNA (in an area lying towards the 5' end but 3' to hairpin I) and the branchpoint sequence (BPS) of the intron results the bulging out of an unpaired adenosine, on the BPS, which initiates a nucleophilic attack at the intronic 5' splice site, thus starting the first of two transesterification reactions that mediate splicing. NCBI's taxonomy places the organism in Eukaryota, Metazoa, Chordata, Mammalia, Primates, Cebidae. The record is from Ensembl.
ACUGCUUCUCGGCCUUUUGGCUAAGAUCAAGUGUAGUAUCUGUUCUUAUCAGUUUAAUAUCUAAUAUCUCUAUCCGAGGACAAUAUACUAAAUGGAUUUUUGGAGCAGGGAGAUGGAAUUGCAGUACUUCUAGGAAUGGUGCAACCCCUCAGGGGACAAAAAAAAAAAAAGACUACAUAUU